Medicago truncatula (barrel medic) is the source of this 4303-nucleotide RNA transcript. It is a transcript of the gene named spliceosome-associated protein 130 A, with no coding region annotated. The transcript has 5 exons. NCBI's taxonomy places the organism in Eukaryota, Viridiplantae, Streptophyta, Magnoliopsida, Fabales, Fabaceae. The record is from RefSeq and is a predicted model, not a curated record.
UAGGCAGAAAGUGAUGGUAAUAAGCAAGCAAAAUAAAAUAGGGUUUACUCCUCAUUGUUCCCGCUCCACUUACACAGUGAAGAACAAAGAAUGUUAAAUUGAAUCCAAAACCCUAAACCCUAAUCCCAAUUUCCCAAUUUAUCGUUUUCCUUCACCUAAUUCAGUACCCAUAAAACCAUGUAUCUUUACAAUCUCACUCUUCAACGACCCACCGGAAUCAUCUGUGCCAUCAACGGCAACUUCUCCGGCGGUAAGGGUCAAGAAAUCGUCGUCGCCAGAGGCAAAACCCUAGAUCUCCUCCGCCCCGACGACAACGGACGAAUUCAAACAAUCCUCUCUGUUGAAGUCUUCGGCUCAAUUAGAUCCCUAGCUCAGUUUCGUCUCACUGGUGCUCAGAAGGAUUUCAUCGUUGUCGGUUCCGAUUCCGGUAGGAUUGUUAUUCUUGAUUACAAUAAAGAGAAAAAUGUUUUUGAUAAAAUUCAUCAAGAGACUUUUGGGAAAUCUGGUUGCCGGAGAAUUGUUCCUGGUGAGUAUAUUGCUGUAGAUCCCAAAGGUAGAGCUGUUAUGAUUGGUGCUUGUGAAAAACAGAAGCUUGUUUAUGUGUUGAAUAGAGAUACUGCUGCUAGGUUAACCAUUUCGUCUCCGUUAGAAGCUCAUAAAUCGCAUACUCUUGUGUUUUCAAUUUGUGGCGUUGAUUGUGGUUUUGAGAAUCCUAUUUUUGCUGCUAUUGAGUUGGAUUACUCUGAGGCUGAUAAUGAUUCGUCGGGUAUGGCUGCUGCUGAAGCUCAGAAGAAUUUGACAUUCUAUGAGCUUGAUUUGGGUCUUAACCAUGUUUCUAGAAAGUGGUCUGAUCAGGUUGAUAAUGGGGCAAAUUUGCUUGUUACUGUUCCUGGUGGUGCUGAUGGACCAAGUGGAGUUCUUGUUUGUGCGGAAAAUUUUGUUAUUUAUAAGAAUCAGGGGCAUCCUGAUGUUAGGGCUGUGAUUCCGAGACGUGCUGAUUUGCCUGCUGAGCGUGGCGUUCUUAUUGUUUCUGCUGCUAUGCAUAAAUUGAAGGGUGGAUUCUUUUUUCUUCUGCAGACUGAGUACGGUGAUAUCUUUAAGGCUACGUUGGAACAUGAGGGUGAUCGGAUUUCUGAAUUGAAGAUUAAGUAUUUUGAUACCAUUCCUGUUACUUCUUCAAUGUGUGUGCUCAAGUCGGGGUUCUUGUUUGCGGCGUCUGAGUUUGGAAACCAUGGUCUGUAUCAGUUUAAGGGAAUAGGGGACGAUGAUGAUGUCGAGGCUUCGUCUGCGAGCCUGAUGGAAACUGAAGAGGGUUUUCAGCCUGUGUUUUUCCAGCCCAGGAAACUGAAAAACCUUGUUAGGAUUGACCAGGUUGAGAGUUUGAUGCCAAUUACAGAUAUGAAGGUCAGCAAUCUGUUUGAAGAGGAGACUCCUCAAAUUUUUACUCUUUGUGGGCGUGGACCUCGAUCUUCUCUGAGGAUAUUGAGAACAGGUUUGGCUGUUAGUGAGAUGGCAGUUUCCAAGCUUCCCGGUGUACCUAGUGCUGUUUGGACUGUGAAGAAGAAUGUUAUUGAUGAGUUUGAUGCUUAUAUUGUUGUUUCGUUCACCAAUGCCACACUCGUGCUUUCCAUUGGUGAGACAGUCGAAGAAGUCAGUGACAGCGGAUUUUUGGACACUACUCCAUCCCUUUCGGUUUCUUUGAUAGGUGAUGAUUCUCUCAUGCAAGUUCAUCCAAAUGGUAUUAGGCAUAUCAGGGAGGAUGGCCGUAUAAAUGAGUGGAGAACUCCUGGAAAGAGGACAAUUGCAAAAGUUGGGUCGAAUAGACUUCAGGUGGUUAUUGCUCUAAAUGGAGGGGAGCUUAUAUAUUUUGAAGUGGAUGUAACUGGUCAGUUGAUGGAGGUGGAGAAGCAUGAAAUGUCUGGCGAUGUUGCUUGUUUGGACAUUGCUCCAGUGCCCGAAGGAAGACAAAGAUCCCGUUUUCUUGCAGUUGGAUCAUAUGACAAGACAAUCCGAAUCUUAUCACUGGAUCCUGAUGAUUGUAUGCAGACUCUAGGUAUACAGAGUCUUUCUUCAGCUCCAGAAUCGCUUCUUUUCCUUGAAGUUCAAGCAUCUGUUGGCGGUGAGGAUGGGGCAGAUCACCCCGCUAGCCUUUUCCUGAACGCUGGUUUGCAGAAUGGUGUACUAUCUAGAACUGUGGUGGAUAUGGUCACAGGUCUGCUUUCUGAUUCUCGAUCCCGAUUCUUAGGAUUGAGACCCCCAAAGCUGUUUCCCAUUAUUGUAAGAGGGAAGCGUGCUAUGCUCUGCCUGUCAAGUCGCCCUUGGCUUGGUUACAUUCACCAAGGACACUUCCUUUUAACACCCCUUUCGUAUGAAACCCUUGAAUUUGCUGCCUCAUUUUCAUCUGACCAAUGUGUGGAAGGUGUAGUUGCUGUUGCUGGUGAGGCGUUGAGAAUUUUUACCAUUGAAAGAUUAGGAGAAACAUUUAAUGAGACAGUUAUUCCACUUAGAUACACGCCUAGGAAAUUUGUGCUGCAACCCAAACGGAAACUUUUGGUGGUGAUUGAGAGUGAUCAAGGAGCAUUUACUGCAGAAGAGCGUGAAGCUGCAAAGAAAGAGUGUUUUGAGGCUGCUCAAGCUGGGGAAAAUGGGACAGAAAGUGCAGACCAAAUGGAGAAUGGCGGGGAGGAUGAGGAUAAAGAUGACCCCCUCUCUGAUGAGCAUUAUGGUUAUCCAAAAGCUGAAUCAGAUAAGUGGGCAUCCUGCAUCAGAAUUCUUGAUCCAAAAACAGGAAAUACAACCUGUCUUUUGGAGCUUCAGGAUAAUGAGGCUGCAUUCAGCGUAUGCACAGUAAAUUUUCAUGAUAAAGAAUACGGAACUCUUUUAGCCGUUGGCACAGCAAAGGGACUGCAAUUUACGCCCAGAAGGAGUUUAACUGCUGGAUUUAUUCAUAUAUAUAGGUUUCUAGAGGAUGGAAGAUCUCUUGAACUACUUCACAAAACUCAGGUUGAAGGUGUUCCUCUUGCUCUUAGUCAGUUUCAGGGAAGAUUACUUGCAGGAAUAGGACCUGUUCUCAGGUUAUAUGAUUUGGGAAAAAGACGGUUAUUAAGGAAGUGUGAGAAUAAGCUAUUCCCCAACACAAUUGUCUCUAUUCAAACCUACCGUGAUCGAAUUUAUGUUGGGGACAUUCAAGAGUCUUUCCAUUACUGCAAGUAUAGACGGGAUGAAAAUCAACUCUACAUAUUUGCUGAUGAUUGUGUUCCAAGAUGGCUUACUGCAUCAUACCACAUAGAUUUCGAUACCAUGGCAGGUGCAGACAAGUUUGGAAAUAUCUAUUUUGUGCGGUUGCCGCAGGACGUGUCUGAUGAGAUAGAAGAAGAUCCUACUGGUGGGAGGAUCAAGUGGGAGCAGGGGAAGCUGAAUGGAGCUCCCAAUAAGGUAGAAGAAAUUGUGCAAUUUCAUGUUGGUGAUGUGAUCUCAUGCCUGCAAAAGGCCUCUCUUAUACCAGGUGGUGGAGAGUGCAUUUUAUAUGGAACAGUUAUGGGAAGUAUUGGAGCAUUACAUGCUUUUACUUCACGAGAUGAUGUUGAUUUCUUCUCUCAUUUGGAGAUGCAUAUGAGGCAGGAUAAUCCACCUUUGUGUGGAAGAGAUCAUAUGGCUUAUAGAUCCGCCUAUUUUCCUGUUAAGGAUGUUAUUGAUGGGGACCUAUGUGAGCAAUUCCCAACAUUGCCAAUGGAUUUGCAGAGAAAAAUUGCUGAUGAAUUGGACAGGACCCCUGGAGAAAUACUGAAGAAACUUGAGGAAGUACGAAAUAAGAUUAUUUAAGAAAUUAUCAUUAGAGAACUUCAACAAUGACCAACAGAUCAUUUUUGAACAAGGGGAAAAUUCUGCGCUAGUCAAAUGUUGAUAUGGUGUUGGUGAAAGGAAUCGUGUUAUUUGAGUAAGCCGUUUGCCCUUGGUCCCUAACAAAGUGAAGAAAGCAUGGGUUUAGUGAAGAAAGCACGGGUUUCUUAUUCAUACGGGAAGGCGGAAGCUGUGAUUUAUUGUCCCGUUUAUGACUGUUUUAUUUUUAGAGACAAAUGUUAUUGGCGUAUGUUAGUUUUCUGAGAUUGAACUUUGGACCUCUAGUAACUUAGUACUUCUUUAGUGUCCCUCUGUUCGCCAAUCAGGCUGCCUAUUUGGGAUUUAUUUAUGACUUUGUGCGGUAUCUGUAGUUUGUAUCAGUUAAAGUUAAAGUUACUGAUAAUUUUAUGUUGUAAUUACUGAUAAUUAACUGUUAGUUUCAUGCUUUGUGGAUGUCAUAACA